RNAcentral lists this ribosomal RNA (455 nucleotides) under Bidessus perexiguus. RNAcentral's name for it is "partial 16S ribosomal RNA". It matches the Rfam family "Bacterial large subunit ribosomal RNA", at positions 1806 to 2534 of the family's 2925-position model. The record is from RNAcentral. Lineage: Eukaryota; Metazoa; Arthropoda; Insecta; Coleoptera; Dytiscidae.
AACAAAAACAUGUCCUUUAGAAUAGAAUUUAAGGUCUAACCUGCCCGUUGAGGAAUUAAAUGGCCGCAGUAUUUUGACUGUGCAAAGGUAGCAUAAUCAUUAGUUUUUUAAUUGAAAGCUUGUAUGAAUGGUUGGACGAGAUAUAAACUGUCUUUAAAUUAAUCAUAGAAUUUAAUUUUUAAGUAAAAAAGCUUAAAUAAUUUUAAAAGACGAGAAGACCCUAUAAAUCUUUAUAUUAUUUUUUAUUUGAUUUUUUUGGAUUAUUAAUUAUUAUAUAAAAAAUAUUAUUUUAUUGGGGUAAUAAAAAGAUUAAAAUAAUUCUUUUUUUAUAAAACAAUGAUUAUUGAAUUUUUUGAUCCAUUAUUAGUGAUUAUAAGAUUAAGUUACUUUAGGGAUAACAGCGUAAUUUUUUUAGAGAGUUCUUAUCGAUAAAAAAGUUUGCGACCUCGAUGUUG